Molecule: transfer RNA, 65 nt
Filed under: Plesionika ortmanni
Lineage: Eukaryota; Metazoa; Arthropoda; Malacostraca; Decapoda; Pandalidae
Description: tRNA-Ala
Source: RNAcentral
GAAGUUAUAGUCAAAAAUGACAUCUGGGUUGCAUUCAGAAAGUGCUUUAUCUUAAGCUAACUUUA